This 127-nucleotide small nuclear RNA is filed under the name Fukomys damarensis (Damara mole-rat). RNAcentral describes it as "U4 spliceosomal RNA (ENSFDAG00000019811.1)". The stretch from base 1 to 66 matches the Rfam family "U4 spliceosomal RNA". Rfam says of the family: U4 small nuclear RNA (U4 snRNA) is a component of the major U2-dependent spliceosome. The structure of U4 snRNA from yeast and human has been reported. Lineage: Eukaryota; Metazoa; Chordata; Mammalia; Rodentia; Bathyergidae. The record is from RNAcentral.
AGCUUUGUGCAGUGGCAGUAUCAUAGCCAAUGAGGUUUAUCCGAGGCGUGAUUAUUGCUAAAUGGAGUAAGUCUGAAUAAGAGUGUUAAGUUAGUCAGAAUGGAAAAUCUCAGAGUGAGCAGAUUCA